Molecule: long non-coding RNA, 277 nt
Filed under: Ananas comosus (pineapple)
Lineage: Eukaryota; Viridiplantae; Streptophyta; Magnoliopsida; Poales; Bromeliaceae
Description: long non-coding RNA (ACOM_LNC016087)
Source: RNAcentral
AACGCUUCAUUUGGGAUUAUGAGAAGAUUGCAUUACUUGCGGUGAGAAAGUAUGAUGAAAAAAUAUUUUAUUUUUUUCGUAUAUAAUACUGCGUUCCACAUAUUGCGAUUAGUUGGUUAUGAUAUAUUUUCUACAGUUCCAUCAGAGAACGCAAAAAUAUAUUUCUAUAUUUUUUUUCUCAACUCUAUUUUAUCUCAACUCUGUUUUAUCUAAUAACGUUAGAUAGACAUCAAUAUUAAACUAACCCUAAGUAUAUCAACUUAUAUAUUUAUUACCC